UGGGGAAUAUUGGACAAUGGGCGCAAGCCUGAUCCAGCAAUGCCGCGUGAGUGAUGAAGGCCUUAGGGUUGUAAAGCUCUUUCGCACGCGACGAUGAUGACGGUAGCGUGAGAAGAAGCCCCGGCUAACUUCGUGCCAGCAGCCGCGGUAAUACGAAGGGGGCUAGCGUUGUUCGGAAUUACUGGGCGUAAAGGGCGCGUAGGCGGCCUGUUUAGUCAGAAGUGAAAGCCCCGGGCUCAACCUGGGAAUAGCUUUUGAUACUGGCAGGCUUGAGUUCCGGAGAGGAUGGUGGAAUUCCCAGUGUAGAGGUGAAAUUCGUAGAUAUUGGGAAGAACACCGGUGGCGAAGGCGGCCAUCUGGACGGACACUGACGCUGAGGCGCGAAAGCGUGGGGAGCAAACAGAUUAGAUACCCUGGUAGUCCAACGCCGUAAACGAUGAAUGCUAGACGUCGGGGUGCAUNCANUUCGGUGUCGCCGCUAACGCAUUAAGCAUUCCGCCU
This 501-nucleotide ribosomal RNA is filed under the name uncultured bacterium. Its description in RNAcentral is "partial 16S ribosomal RNA". It matches the Rfam family "Bacterial small subunit ribosomal RNA", at positions 355 to 874 of the family's 1533-position model. The record is from RNAcentral.